GACGAACGCUGGCGGCGUGCUUAACACAUGCAAGUCGAGCGCUGAAGCACCUUCGGGUGUGGAUUAGCGGCGAACGGGUGAGGAACACGUGAGGAAUCUGCCUUCCACUCUGGGAUAACUCCGGGAAACCGGGGCUAAUACCGGAUACUUUCAACUGGCGGCAUCGCCGGUUGAAGAAAGUUUUUCGGUGGAAGAUGACCUCGCGGCCUAGCAGCUUGUUGGUGAGGUAAUGGCGCACCAAGGCGACGACGGGUAGCCGGCCUGAGAGGGCGAACGGCCACACUGGGACUGAGACACGGCCCAGACUCCUACGGGAGGCAGCAGUGUGGAAUAUUGGGCAAUGGAGGAAACUCUGACCCAGCGACGCCGCGUGAGGGAUGAAGGCCUUCGGGUUGUAAACCUCUUUCAGCAGGGAAUAAGCGAAAGUGAAGGUACCUGCAGAAGAAGCACCGGCUAACUAUGUGCCAGCAGCCGCCGUAA
Molecule: ribosomal RNA, 480 nt
Filed under: uncultured bacterium
Lineage: Bacteria
Description: partial 16S ribosomal RNA
Rfam family: Bacterial small subunit ribosomal RNA
Source: RNAcentral